GAUGAACGCUGGCGGCGUGCCUAAUACAUGCAAGUCGAGCGAACAGAUGAGGAGCUUGCUCCUCUGACCUUAGCGGCGGACGGGUGAGUAACACGUGGAUAACCUACCUAUAAGACUGGGGUAACUUCGGGAAACCGGAGCUAAUACCGGAUAAUAUAUUGAACCGCAUGGUUCAAUAGUGAAAGACGGUUUUGCUGUCACUUAUAGAUGGAUCCGCGCCGCAUUAGCUAGUUGGUAAGGUAACGGCUUACCAAGGCAACGAUGCGUAGCCGACCUGAGAGGGUGAUCGGCCACACUGGAACUGAGACACGGUCCAGACUCCUACGGGAGGCAGCAGUAGGGAAUCUUCCGCAAUGGGCGAAAGCCUGACGGAGCAACGCCGCGUGAGUGAUGAAGGUCUUCGGAUCGUAAAACUCUGUUAUUAGGGAAGAACAAAUGUGUAAGUAACUAUGCACGUCUUGACGGUACCUAAUCAGAAAGCCACGGCUAACUACGUG
Molecule: ribosomal RNA, 497 nt
Filed under: uncultured bacterium
Lineage: Bacteria
Description: partial 16S ribosomal RNA
Rfam family: Bacterial small subunit ribosomal RNA
Source: RNAcentral